AGUUAAAAAGCUCGUAGUUGAAUUUCUGGUCAUUCUUAGUCUUGGCUUCGGUCGGGCUAAGGUUGGCCAUCCGUCUGCAAGCUGCUCUCGGCCUUCACUGGUUCGGAGUAGUGAGCUGACAUUUUACUUUGAAAAAAUUAGAGUGUUUCAGGCAGGCUUUUGCCCGAAUACAUUAGCAUGGAAUAAUGGAAUUGGACUUUGAUCCAUUUGGUUGGUUAUUGGGUCUGAGUAAUGGUUAAUAGGGACAGUUGGGGGCAUUAGUAUUUAAUUGUCAGAGGUGAAAUUCUUGGAUUUAUUAAAGACUAACUUAUGCGAAAGCAUUUGCCAAGGAUGUUUUCAUUAAUCAAGAACGAAAGUUAGGGGAUAAAAGAUGAUCAGAUACCAUUGUAUUCUUAACUAUAAACUAUACCGACUCGGAAUUGGUAGGGUAUUUUAGCUCUAUCAGCACCGUAGGAGAAAUCAAAGUCUUUGGGUUCUGGGGGGAGUAUAGUCGCAAGGCUGAAACUUAAAGGAAUUGACAGAAGGGCUCCACCAGGAGUGGAACCUGCGGCUUAAUUUGACUCAACACGGGGAAACUUACCAGAUCAAAACAUGGGUGGGAUUGA
Molecule: ribosomal RNA, 605 nt
Filed under: uncultured marine eukaryote
Lineage: Eukaryota
Description: SSU rRNA
Rfam family: Eukaryotic small subunit ribosomal RNA
Source: RNAcentral